AGGACGAACGCUGGCGGCGUGCUUAACACAUGCAAGUCGAGCGGUAAGGCCCUUUCGGGGGUACACGAGCGGCGAACGGGUGAGUAACACGUGAGCAAUCUGCCCUUCACUUCGGGAUAAGCCUCGGAAACGGGGUCUAAUACCGGAUAUGACUGCGCCAUGCAUGUGGUGUGGUGGAAAGUUCUGGCGGUGAGGGAUGAGCUCGCGGCCUAUCAGCUUGUUGGUGGGGUAAUGGCCUACCAAGGCUUCAACGGGUAGCCGGCCUGAGAGGGUGACCGGCCACACUGGGACUGAGACACGGCCCAGACUCCUACGGGAGGCAGCAGUGGGGAAUAGUUGGACAAGU
Molecule: ribosomal RNA, 346 nt
Filed under: uncultured soil bacterium
Lineage: Bacteria
Description: bacterial SSU rRNA
Rfam family: Bacterial small subunit ribosomal RNA
Source: RNAcentral